Molecule: signal recognition particle RNA, 99 nt
Filed under: Acidobacteriota bacterium
Lineage: Bacteria; Pseudomonadati; Acidobacteriota
Description: Acidobacteria bacterium signal recognition particle sRNA small type
Rfam family: Bacterial small signal recognition particle RNA
About the family: The signal recognition particle (SRP) is a universally conserved ribonucleoprotein involved in the co-translational targeting of proteins to membranes.
Source: RNAcentral
UCUCGGGCUCUGUGCAAUCUAGAUCCGCGAAUCCCGCCAGGUUCGGAAGAAAGCAACGGUAGUGGAACCCCAGAUGUGCCGCAGACCAACCCGGGGCCU